GGACUCUGGCGAACAACAACAAAACUCAACAACAACAACAACAAAACUCAACAACAACAACAACAACAAAAGAAACAUGAUAAAAUUUUGUGCUCUUAAGGGAAAGGAAUUUGACAUUUCAUGACCUACUGACUCGUAUUCAAGAUUUCGAAAAGAAGAAACAGUGGUGAGCUGAAUACUUCCCUGGAUUCUGAUGAGAAGUUCUUUGGAAGUUUUAUAAUUCCUGAGUUUUAAAUCCUUGAAAAUUAACUUUAUUGAUCAUUUAACUAAGAUUGGAUGGUGAAAAAGUCUGGUUCCUCUUGUUCUCUGGAGAAGUUGUUGGAUCUGAAGAGGCUCAUAGUGUACAUUG
Long non-coding RNA from Sorex fumeus (smoky shrew), 349 nucleotides. RefSeq lists it as uncharacterized. The record is from RefSeq and is a predicted model, not a curated record. Lineage: Eukaryota; Metazoa; Chordata; Mammalia; Eulipotyphla; Soricidae. The transcript is spliced from 3 exons.